UGGGUAACCUGCCUCAAAGAGGGGAAUAGCCUCCCGAAAGGGAGAUUAAUACCGCAUAAUAUGUUUAAGUCGCAUGACUUUAACAUCAAAGGAUUUUCUUUUAGAACUUCCACUUUGAGAUGGACCCGCGGCGCAUUAGCUAGUUGGUGAGGUAACGGCUCACCAAGGCAACGAUGCGUAGCCGACCUGAGAGGGUGAUCGGCCACAUUGGAACUGAGACACGGUCCAGACUCCUAGGGAGG
This 242-nucleotide ribosomal RNA is filed under the name uncultured bacterium. Its description in RNAcentral is "partial 16S ribosomal RNA". It matches the Rfam family "Bacterial small subunit ribosomal RNA", at positions 118 to 348 of the family's 1533-position model. The record is from RNAcentral.